UACGGAGGAUGCAAGCGUUAUCCGGAAUGAUUGGGCGUAAAGCGUCCGCAGGUGGCUAUGUAAGUCUGCUGUUAAAGAGUGAGGCUCAACCUCAUAAGAGCAGUGGAAACUACAUGGCUAGAGUGCGUUCGGGGCAGAGGGAAUUCCUGGUGUAGCGGUGAAAUGCGUAGAGAUCAGGAAGAACACCGGUGGCGAAAGCGGUCUGCUGGGCCGCAACUGACACUGAGGGACGAAAGCUAGGGGAGCGAAUGGG
Molecule: ribosomal RNA, 253 nt
Filed under: uncultured bacterium
Lineage: Bacteria
Description: partial 16S ribosomal RNA
Rfam family: Bacterial small subunit ribosomal RNA
Source: RNAcentral